Molecule: ribosomal RNA, 805 nt
Filed under: uncultured bacterium
Lineage: Bacteria
Description: bacterial SSU rRNA
Rfam family: Bacterial small subunit ribosomal RNA
Source: RNAcentral
ACAGGGGGAUAGCCCGGAGAAAUCUGGAUUAAUACCCCAUGGUACAUAUUGAUGGCAUCAGAGAUAUGUUAAAGAUUCAUCGGUAUAAGAUGGGCAUGCGUCUGAUUAGCUAGUUGGCGGUGUAACGGACCACCAAGGCGACGAUCAGUAGGGGUUCUGAGAGGAAGGUCCCCCACACUGGCACUGAGAUACGGGCCAGACUCCUACGGGAGGCAGCAGUAGGGAAUAUUGGGCAAUGGUCGGAAGACUGACCCAGCCAUGCCGCGUGCAGGAAGACGGCCCUCUGGGUUGUAAACUGCUUUUAUCUGGGAAGAAAAAGGCCAUGCGUGGCAAAUUGCCGGUACCAGAUGAAUAAGCACCGGCUAACUCCGUGCCAGCAGCCGCGGUAAUACGGAGGGUGCGAGCGUUGUCCGGAUUUAUUGGGUUUAAAGGGUGCGUAGGCGGCUGAUUAAGUCAGCGGUGAAAGACUUCGGCUUAACCGGAGCAGUGCCGUUGAUACUGGUUGGCUUGAGUGUCGGAGGGGUACAUGGAAUUGAUGGUGUAGCGGUGAAAUGCAUAGAUACCAUCAGGAACACCGAUAGCGAAGGCAUUGUACUGGCCGACAACUGACGCUGAUGCACGAAAGUGUGGGGAUCGAACAGGAUUAGAUACCCUGGUAGUCCACACCGUAAACGAUGAUUACUCGCUGUUAUGGUGUAUGCUGUAGUGGCCAAGCGAAAGCGUUAAGUAAUCCACCUGUGGAGUACGCCGGCAACGGUGAAACUCAAAGGAAUUGACGGGGGUCCGCACAAGCGGUGGAGCAUGU